GCCGUAAUGAUUAAUAGGGAUAGUCGGGGGCAUCAGUAUUCAAUUGUCAGAGGUGAAAUUCUUGGAUUUAUUGAAGACUAACUACUGCGAAAGCAUUUGCCAAGGAUGUUUUCAUUAAUCAGUGAACGAAAGUUAGGGGAUCGAAGACGAUGGACCGCCGGGCCCGUGGGCCGGUAUCUGGUCGUCCAAAACUCAAGUUAGUCCGUGGGCAACGCCGUCAAAUUGCGGGGACUUCUGUCAAAGCGGUGUUACCGGUCUCGGGCGUAAAGCCGGCGAGGCCGCGGGGUGAAAACGCACCGCUUUAGAUAACCUGCAGCCAAUCCACGGGUAUAAUACGUACCCGUGGUGCAGUUAACAGACUGAAUGCCGGCGGGUGCUUUUUAGCACUCAAGAUACAGUCGAUACGGGUGUAUGAGCACCCCUGCCUCAGGUACAAGCAGAUACCGUCGUAGUCUUAACCGUAAACUAUGCCGACUAGGGAUCGGGCGAUGUUCCUUUAUGACUCGCUCGGCACCUUACGAGAAAUCAAAGUUUUUGGGUUCUGGGGGGAGUAUGGUCGCAAGGCUGAAACUUAAAGAAAUUGACGGAAGGGCACCACCAGGAGUGGAGCCUGCGGCUUAAUUUGACUCAACACGGGGAAACUCACCAGGUCCAGACACAAUAAGGAUUGACAGAUUGAGAGCUCUUUCUUGAUUUUGUGGGUGGUGGUGCAUGGCCGUUCUUAGUUGGUGGAGUGAUUUGUCUGCUUAAUUGCGAUAACGAACGAGACCUUAACCUGCUAAAUAGCCAGGCGAGCCUUGGCUCGUCGCCGGCUUCUUAGAGGGACUAUCGGCUCAAGUCGAUG
RNAcentral lists this ribosomal RNA (844 nucleotides) under fungal endophyte sp. RE0105. Its description in RNAcentral is "partial 18S ribosomal RNA". It matches the Rfam family "Eukaryotic small subunit ribosomal RNA", at positions 859 to 1439 of the family's 1831-position model. The record is from RNAcentral. Lineage: Eukaryota; Fungi.